This 523-nucleotide ribosomal RNA is filed under the name uncultured Bacilli bacterium. RNAcentral describes it as "bacterial SSU rRNA". It matches the Rfam family "Bacterial small subunit ribosomal RNA", at positions 236 to 752 of the family's 1533-position model. Lineage: Bacteria; Bacillati; Bacillota; Bacilli. The record is from RNAcentral.
GUGCAUUAGCUAGUUGGUAAGGUAACGGCUUACCAAGGCGACGACGCAUAGCCGAGUUGAGAGACUGAUCGGCCACAUUGGGACUGAGACACGGCCCAAACUCCUACGGGAGGCAGCAGUAGGGAAUCUUCCACAAUGGACGCAAGUCUGAUGGAGCAACGCCGCGUGAGUGAAGAAGGUUUUCGGAUCGUAAAGCUCUGUUGUUGGUGAAGAAGGAUAGAGGUAGUAACUGGCCUUUACUUGACGGUAAUCAACCAGAAAGUCACGGCUAACUACGUGCCAGCAGCCGCGGUAAUACGUAGGUGGCAAGCGUUGUCCGGAUUUAUUGGGCGUAAAGCGAGCGCAGGCGGAAAAAUAAGUCUAAUGUGAAAGCCCUCGGCUUAACCGAGGAACUGCAUCGGAAACUGUUUUUCUUGAGUGCAGAAGAGGAGAGUGGACUCCAUGUGUAGCGGUGGAAUGCGUAGAUAUAUGGAAGAACACCAGUGGCGAAGGCGGCUCUCUGGUCUGCAACUGACGCUGAGGC